Long non-coding RNA from Cyprinus carpio carpio, 762 nucleotides. The record is from Ensembl. NCBI's taxonomy places the organism in Eukaryota, Metazoa, Chordata, Actinopteri, Cypriniformes, Cyprinidae.
GCUAGGAGGCGUCAAAUAUGAACAACAGUGCUACUAGCCCAGGUUUAUUUACCUCUAGGUUUACAUUCAAAAGUAAAGUCUUAAAAUACCACAAAACAAAUAUGGAAAUGCCCUAUUUGUUUUUUGUUUUUUUUGUUUUUUUGCAAUUUUAAUGGUAUUAUUAUUUUUUUAAACAUGUUUUUUAAUUCGUUUUCGGAAGAUCCAGUUUUAUAUUUGAAGGUUGAACCCCCUUAUGUGCCACAUGAAAAGUUGCUCAUGGAGGACAGGGAAUAUACCUAGCUUCAACUUUUUAGGAGGCCUUUCGACCAGAACAUGGAGGCUGAAGCUCAAGCUCAUCCUUGAGAGCAUCUUGACAUAUGCCAGUGGUAACGCUGUGAGGGAUGGAGAUGAUCUUCUAGCAUGACAUCUAAAUACAAUGAUAUAAUCAUCACCUCAGUAUAGUAAGUGUUGUGGCCUUGCAGUAUCCAUCUUUGGAGUCUGUAUGGUGACGGAGGGAUCCAGACUGAAGGAUUUGACCUUAUGAGCAGACCUGGAUGACAUCCAUGUUAUUGUACCAAAUGCCAUCUGCCCUAUUUGUUCUUGGCCCAGACUCCAAAAGUCCUCGGCUCUUGGUACAUAUCCAGCCCGACCCAGUAUGCUAUUUGAAUCAAAUUGUGGUAGAGUCACAGAGAAACAGAUCUGUUUCAUAAGAUAUAUGUAUUUGUAUCCAGCUGUUAUUAGGGAAUGAAAUUCAUCAUCAUGGAUGUUGCACUAUGGAUGAGG